RNAcentral lists this long non-coding RNA (911 nucleotides) under Sinocyclocheilus anshuiensis. RNAcentral's name for it is "lncRNA (ENSSANG00000032164.1)". The record is from RNAcentral. Lineage: Eukaryota; Metazoa; Chordata; Actinopteri; Cypriniformes; Cyprinidae.
GUUCCUGGAAACAAUGGGGACGUUCAUCAGCCAAACCAUGGUACGAUACUGCAUUACUGAAUCUCUCUGGGUGUUUGUGUUCAUUUAAAUCAGUAUCGAGAUUGAUAUAUCUGUGUUUUCAGCAGAUGGGGAAACGAGACAUUCAAAAAAUGGUGGGAACGCGUCUGUUCAGGAGGGAGAUUUAGAAACUAGUGUGCUUCUUAAGGAAGAUAAAAUCACAUCAAUGCCAGUGAUUGAGGGACAAUCUGUCACGCUACACACUGAUCUUACUGAAAUACGGGAAAUUGACAUGAUAUGGUGGAAGUUUGCAGAUUUCAAAGAACGCAGUUGUGCUAAAUUUGUUUUAAUAGCUACGCUGAAUAAAACAAACAAUGAGGUAAACCUAUAUAAUGAAACAAUUCAACAAUUCAAAGACAGUUUGAAACUGAACCUUGAUACAGGAUCUCUCACCAUCACAAUCAUCACACCUGAACAUUAUGGAUUUUAUAAACUACACAUCACCAGCAAAGAAGAGAUGGUCGUUCAUACCUUCAGUGUUGUUGCUCAAAACCUAAUGAGAAGAGAGCGGACCCAAAGACUUCUCCAGAGGAGUCAAACCUGCCCAUGAUUACAACAGAUGACCUUAUAGUAUAUAAAGACUGGAAUAUUAUCCACAUUUCAAUUCCACUGACAAAAACAAGAAACAUUUUCUACUUUUCUCAACAAUCUAACAUCCCUAAUGACCAAAAAGAAAACACUUUAAUGACGAAGGUAAAGUUGAGUGUUCAAUAUGAACUGACAUAAAACACAACAUAUGUCACACUACACUUGCAUUUGUCCAAAAAUAGAAGCUAUUAACUGUAAACACAACAGUAUAUGCUACUUAUAUUUUCUGCAUGUUGAAUUUUGUUUUUCAUUUGAAUUUGUUUUUC